Long non-coding RNA from Hirundo rustica (Barn swallow), 1208 nucleotides. RefSeq lists it as uncharacterized. NCBI's taxonomy places the organism in Eukaryota, Metazoa, Chordata, Aves, Passeriformes, Hirundinidae. The record is from RefSeq and is a predicted model, not a curated record. The transcript is spliced from 5 exons.
AUUCCUAAGAGUGCUAGGAGAACUGCCACAAAGCUGUAAAAAUAGGGGCUAUCUUUUAAUCUGUUCUGCAGUGCUUGGCCUGUGAUUUGAGAGAAGAGUGGUCCUGUGCUGCAGCUAGAGUUCCUCAGCUGGGAAAGUGGAAAGGAAGAAUGUGUCACCUGUAGCUGAAGAAUGUUCACAUGCAGAUUGUGUUCUCUUGAAUGCUGUUCUUACUCAGAUUUACCAAAUGAAUGAUAUGGAAAGAGGCUGGAACUUGCCCCUUAAAGGUGCUGCUUCAGAGUGACAGUGCUGUGCAGGGGAAGAGUGGGGAUGAAAUAACAAAAAAGAAUGGAUGCUGGAUGGUUCCCUACGAGAAUUGUUUCCUGAUAAUGUCAGGCUCACUUUUGACCUGAAUGUGUUCCUCAACCACAACAUCAUAACAAACACAGAUCAUUGCAGGCAAGUUGAAGUAAGCCAUUUCAGGUUUUUCAAAACAUGCUGCAGCUCGUGGAAAUCUUGGGGCUCCUUUUCUAGAAAACUGUUCUUCAAAAGAGCGGAGUGCAGCAGCAUGCUUCAGCCUCCAGGAUUCACACCACUAGCUUUAGGAAGUACAACUACUUUUGAGUUAUUGCUUAGAGAAAUGAUAAUAAUAAAAGCUGACUAGAUUUAAAAAAAAAAAAAAAAAGGACCUUUGAGCACUGUCAUGUAACUGCUGAUAACAAUGAUUAUUAUGUUUAUCUUGCCAGUUUUAACCAUGUUGUCAAUUGCCACAUUUCACCCUAGAUUCUGGUCUCUAAGAAAUCCAUGCUAAAAUGAACAUUUGUUUCAGCAAAGGCUCCCAGCUGAAUGCAAGCCACAAGGGGUUUCUUUUAAGUUGGAUAUGAGUGGGUUUGGUUUUGUUUUUUUUCCUCCUCCCUUCCUCUGAAGGAGAGAAGACAAGUUCUGGAAGCUUAGUUGCUGGUCUAAAACAUGAAUAGCAUGAAGUCUCUUCAGUGUUUCUGUGUUAAAUGCUGCUUCAGAGCCAUUGCUACUUAAGGGAUUUAGUUGCUGAAUGCUUACCUAAGACCUGUGUUCCCACUUAAACAUAAAAAUUGACCUUUCCAGGUAUGAAAUAUAUCAAGAGCUUUGUUUCGUUUGUUUAUUUUGGUUUUUGUCUGAUUAGUCUUACUGUAUUAAUGCUUAUGAUACAAUUUCUUUAUGUUUUGGAGGGGUAAAACCUGCCAUAGCAA